Long non-coding RNA from Bufo bufo (common toad), 151 nucleotides. RefSeq lists it as uncharacterized. NCBI's taxonomy places the organism in Eukaryota, Metazoa, Chordata, Amphibia, Anura, Bufonidae. The transcript is spliced from 3 exons. The record is from RefSeq and is a predicted model, not a curated record.
AUCUGUACUGUGAAGUCCUAAAUGUACAUUGACGUUUUCUUCUAAAGAGCGCUGCAUGAUAUCUUCAUCUUCUGCUUUAUAAAUUUGUGAUAACAUGAUGUUUUCAUCAGAAUUCUUACUGGGAUUUUCUUGUGUUAUUAGAGGCCGGUGC